AUACGUAGGGAGCGAGCGUUGUCCGGAAUUACUGGGCGUAAAGGGCGCGUAGGCGGCGCUUCAAGUCGUCUGUCAAAUGGGAGGGCUUAACCCUUUUUCGCAGACGAAACUGGAGAGCUUGAGAAGCAGAGAGGCAAGCAGAAUUCCUGGUGUAGCGGUGAAAUGCGUAGAUAUCAGGAAGAAUACCAGUGGCGAAGGCGGUUUGCUGGCUGCAUACUGACGCUGAAGCGCGAAAGCCAGGGGAGCAAACGGGAUUAGAUACCCCGGUAGUCCUGGCAGUAAACGAUGUAUGCUGGGUGUGAGACUAGCGAUAGUUUCGUGCCGAAGUUAACGCGAUAAGCAUACCGCCUGGGGAGUACGGCCGCAAGGCUAAAACUCAAAUGAAUUGGCGGGG
This 394-nucleotide ribosomal RNA is filed under the name uncultured bacterium. RNAcentral's name for it is "partial 16S ribosomal RNA". It matches the Rfam family "Bacterial small subunit ribosomal RNA", at positions 523 to 918 of the family's 1533-position model. The record is from RNAcentral.